Molecule: long non-coding RNA, 1244 nt
Filed under: Cottoperca gobio
Lineage: Eukaryota; Metazoa; Chordata; Actinopteri; Perciformes; Bovichtidae
Description: lncRNA (ENSCGOG00000010197.1)
Source: RNAcentral
CUGACGAUGUUCUGGGAUCGUACCUCCUUUGCCCACAUCCUAAAAAACCCAAAUGUGGCUCCCUCAUCAUCCGCUUCCCCUCUGGCCUGAUCACCCACCUCAUCGAAAACACUCGGAAAGGGAAAUUCCUGCUGGAGAAAUGCAAAACUGAAUUUGGUUCCAUAGCAGAACUGAUCGAACACUACACGGACACUCUGGAUGAGCUGGCGUGUCUGCUGAGCUGUGCCCGGGUUAACCACUGUUACGAGUGGGAGGAAAGUAGCAGCAAACUGCAGGCUGUGAAGCCACUCAAGAAAAGCACCCACAGAAAGGAUUGGGUUUAAACUCACGACACUGGAUUGCCAACCUCCAUAAUAAGUGACUUCUCUUUAUAUUUAUAUUAUAUGUAUAUAGUAUGCCAGUCAUUUCAUCAAAGGGUACUUCUUUGUAAAGUAAUAUUUUGUGCUUGCUACUUUUUUAUGUUUUUCAAUACAAUAUUUUUAAUAUUUGUAUUUGUGCCUGUAAGGCAUCAGAGGCGUUUUGUUUGUGUUUUUAACAUGUGAAAUUUGAAAGUGGAGCGGCAUUUGUCCCGCAGAAUGUUGAACCUGAUGGCAAAGCCAUACUUUUGUUUUUCUUGUUUCAAGUUGCACAAAUAUAUUUGAUUACAUUUUAUUAUUCCUUGAAUUUGAAUCUUUCUUUAUGUGUUUAGGCAUUAAGCCUGGAUGAUAUGUAAGCAGUUAAUCCUAUAUACAAUGCUGUGUCCUAGGUAUAAGAACAUAUGACCAUAAUGACACCAAGUAUUUUCCAUAAGUUGACACCUCCAGUGUAUUUGUGUGUUUAAAUCACAGCAACUAAGAAGUCAUGUUCUGAUUUUCUGUGUUUUUAACGUUUGUGUGAAGUUAGUUUACUGGAAGUUUAAACUGGUAAUGUCUUUAAAUUGUCUGAAAUAAGAUCUUUAUCAUAAGAUUGUCUGUGAUGUUCUCUUUCUUUCUCAUUUUUAAAUUUAAGUAACUAAUUUGAGUACUUUGUACCAUCUUUUACACAUUAGGCCAACAAACUAUAUCCAUAUUGUUCACCCCUGUUAGAGAUUAAAACAACAGGUGUCCUGUUUUCAACCCACUUCCUGUAAAAAUGUUGUUUUUCCAUUAUUAUGUAUGACUUUUGCAUUAGCACAAAUAGUGGUGUUGAUUCAGUUUUAUGAUCAUUUUGGAGCCUGCAGUUUGUGGAGCUGUUGGAUUUGUAUUCCAUUCACACUGACAGGUGUU